CCCGUUUUCUUGAUGAAACCAUUCGCGGAUGUAAAGAGUAUUCGUACUCGCGAGUCCGAGAGCGCAAAAACCCAUGUGGAUUAUUCCGUUGCCUUCCUUCUGAUUCUAUCU
RNAcentral lists this small nucleolar RNA (111 nucleotides) under Laccaria bicolor S238N-H82. Its description in RNAcentral is "Small nucleolar RNA Z13/snr52". It matches the Rfam family "Small nucleolar RNA Z13/snr52". Rfam says of the family: Z13 or snr52 is a member of the C/D class of snoRNA which contain the C (UGAUGA) and D (CUGA) box motifs. Most of the members of the box C/D family function in directing site-specific 2'-O-methylation of substrate RNAs. Lineage: Eukaryota; Fungi; Basidiomycota; Agaricomycetes; Agaricales; Hydnangiaceae. The record is from Rfam by way of RNAcentral.